This 1878-nucleotide ribosomal RNA is filed under the name Triticum aestivum (bread wheat). Its description in RNAcentral is "partial small subunit ribosomal RNA". The record is from RNAcentral. Lineage: Eukaryota; Viridiplantae; Streptophyta; Magnoliopsida; Poales; Poaceae.
AUGUCCAGGGACUUGGACUGUCCUGUUCAGACACAGAUGGCUGUUGCAGUCCUGGAUCGGAGUUUCAGCAGUGAAUAUCCUGCAAGUAGCAAAACUGAGGGGAGACCAUUGAGCUGGAAGAGAGUUUUUGUUCAAACUGAUAAUGGUUCUGUCCUGGGCAUUGAACUGGAGAGGGGAGAAAAUGCACAAUCUGUGAAAAAAAAACUGCAGAUAGCUUUGAAUGUUUCCACAGAGGAGAGCUCACUGACCUUUGGUGAUCUUGUUCUGAACAAUGAUCUCAGCAAUGUCCGCAAUGACUCGCCGUUGCUCCUCACAAGGAAUCAGAUGCACCGGAGCAGCUCAACACCUUGUCUCUCUCCUAAUGGAAGCGGCGUGCAACAGCGAGACCGUAGUGGACCCAUUGCUAUCCUUGGAUGUUCAAGCCCUUCCCCUGAGAUGAAACAGCUUGCUAAGGAUAUUGUCAAAGCCAUAAGGAAUGAUGUUGACCCAGUAGCUGUUAACAGUGGGAUGGGUGGUGCCUACUACUUCGAUAACAUUUGGGGUGAACAUGUUGCAAUUGUAAAGCCAACCGACGAGGAACCAUUUGCUCCAAAUAAUCCUAAAGGCUUUGUAGGGAAGACCCUUGGACAGCCAGGUCUCAAAAGGUCUGUACGAGUUGGUGAGACAGGGUUCAGAGAGGUUGCUGCUUACCUCCUUGACCAUGGCAACUUUGCAAAAGUUCCUCCAACCAUGCUGGUCAAGAUCACACACACUGUGUUCAAUGUGAAUGCCACUGUUGGCUGCAAUCAUAAGGUGUUCCACAACAAUUCACAGCCUGUGAGCAAGAUUGCAUCAUUGCAGCAGUUCAUCCCUCAUGAUUUUGAUGCCAGCGACCAUGGGACAUCAAGCUUCCCUGUAUCUGCUGUGCACAGGAUCGGCAUUCUUGACAUCAGAAUCUUCAACACGGACAGGCAUUCGGGCAAUCUUCUGGUCAGGAAAGUUGGUCCUGGGUCUGACAACUUUGGAGUGCAGACCGAACUCAUUCCUAUCGACCAUGGUCUUUGUCUGCCCGAAUGUCUAGAGGACCCUUACUUUGAAUGGAUUCACUGGCCGCAAGCAUCCAUCCCUUUCUCUGAGGAGGAACUUGAAUACAUUGCAAAUUUGGAUCCUGUAAAAGAUGUUGACAUGCUGCGCAUGGAGCUUCCCAUGAUCCGCAAGGCAUGUCUGCGGGUGCUGGUGCUGUCAACAAUAUUUCUCAAGGAAGGUGCAGCAUUUGGCCUCUGCUUGUCCGAAAUAGGAGAGAUGAUGAGCAGGCAGUUUACUGGGAAAGAAGAAGAGCCAAGUGAGCUUGAGCUUCUUUGCAUGGAGGCAAGGAAGUGGGUCGAGGACAGAGAGCUAUUUCUUCCAGAAGCCGGAGUUGAAGACGACGAUGAUGACUUCACCCAGUUCUCUCUUGACGGCGAGGAUGAUUCAGAUGCAUUUGAAUCACCCUCAUUCAGCAGGUUUGGUCCCAUGAAGGCAAGCCACAGGAAUCCACUGUCAAAGCUAGCCGAGUGUGACGAGGAGGAGGAUGAUGACAAGGAGAUGGUCAAGGAUGACUCUGACCCCUUGAACGCUAAACCCUACCGCGGAGGCAUUCCGAAGACGAAGAGCAAGGUGGCUGCUAAAACUAACUAUAGUGGCGAAGGUAGUAUGUAUCAGUCUGGAAGCAGGAGCGCGAACGAGAUGCUCCCUCCCAGCGCCAGUUUUGUGAAGCUGUCGGACAUGGGCUCCGAGGAGUGGACCGCGUUCCUCGACAAGUUCCAGGAGCUCCUCCCGAGCGCCUUCCGAGCACGGAAGCACGCGGCUGGCUCCGGCCCGCGCCCACUGCAGAGGCUGGGAACUUCUUGCCAGUUUUGA